RNAcentral lists this ribosomal RNA (495 nucleotides) under uncultured soil bacterium. Its description in RNAcentral is "bacterial SSU rRNA". It matches the Rfam family "Bacterial small subunit ribosomal RNA", at positions 26 to 522 of the family's 1533-position model. The record is from RNAcentral.
AGAUUGAACGCUGGCGGCAUGCUUUACACAUGCAAGUCGAACGGUAACAGGCCGCAAGGUGCUGACGAGUGGCGAACGGGUGAGUAAUGUAUCGGAACGUGCCCAGUCGUGGGGGAUAACGCAGCGAAAGCUGCGCUAAUACCGCAUACGAUCUAUGGAUGAAAGCGGGGGACCGUAAGGCCUCGCGCGAUUGGAGCGGCCGAUAUCAGAUUAGGUAGUUGGUGGGGUAAAGGCUCACCAAGCCAACGAUCUGUAGCUGGUUUGAGAGAACGACCAGCCACACUGGGACUGAGACACGGCCCAGACUCCUACGGGAGGCAGCAGUGGGGAAUUUUGGACAAUGGGCGAAAGCCUGAUCCAGCAAUGCCGCGUGCAGGAAGAAGGCCUUCGGUUGUAAACUGCUUUGUACGGAACGAACGGUCUGCUUUAAUACAGUGGCUAAUGACGGUACCGUAAGAAUAAGCACCGGCUAACUACGUGCCAGCAGCCGCGUAA